This 497-nucleotide ribosomal RNA is filed under the name uncultured bacterium. RNAcentral describes it as "partial 16S ribosomal RNA". It matches the Rfam family "Bacterial small subunit ribosomal RNA", at positions 28 to 507 of the family's 1533-position model. The record is from RNAcentral.
GAUGAACGCUGGCGGCGUGCCUAAUACAUGCAAGUCGAGCGAACAGACGAGGAGCUUGCUCCUCUGACGUUAGCGGCGGACGGGUGAGUAACACGUGGAUAACCUACCUAUAAGACUGGGAUAACUUCGGGAAACCGGAGCUAAUACCGGAUAAUAUAUUGAACCGCAUGGUUCAAUAGUGAAAGACGGUUUUGCUGUCACUUAUAGAUGGAUCCGCGCCGCAUUAGCUAGUUGGUAAGGUAACGGCUUACCAAGGCGACGAUGCGUAGCCGACCUGAGAGGGUGAUCGGCCACACUGGAACUGAGACAGGGUCCAGACUACUACGGGACGCAGCAGUAGGGAAUCUUCCGCAAUGGGCGAGAGCCUGACGGAGCAACGCCGCGUGAGUGAUGAAGGUCUUCGGAUCGUAAAACUCUGUUAUUAGGGAAGAACAAAUGUGUAAGUAACUAUGCACGUCUUGACGGUACCUAAUCAGAAAGCCACGGCUAACUACGUG